CGGUUGUCACGCCAGUGGCAUUGCCGAGUAGCUAAGUGUGGAAGAGAUAACCGCUGAAAGCAUCUAAGCGGGAAACUCGUUUCAAGAUGAGAUCUGCCGGGGCCUUGAGCCCCCUGAAGAGUCGUUCAAGACCAGGACGUUGAUAGGUCAGGUGUGGAAGCGCAGUAAUGCGUUAAGCUAACUGAUACUAAUUGCUCGUGCGGCUUGACCCUAUAACUUUG
Molecule: ribosomal RNA, 221 nt
Filed under: Acidovorax cavernicola
Lineage: Bacteria; Pseudomonadati; Pseudomonadota; Betaproteobacteria; Burkholderiales; Comamonadaceae
Description: partial 23S ribosomal RNA
Rfam family: Bacterial large subunit ribosomal RNA
Source: RNAcentral